Molecule: ribosomal RNA, 253 nt
Filed under: uncultured bacterium
Lineage: Bacteria
Description: partial 16S ribosomal RNA
Rfam family: Bacterial small subunit ribosomal RNA
Source: RNAcentral
GACGGAGGAUGCAAGCGUUAUCCGGGGUGAUUGGGCGUAAAGCGUUCGCAGGUGGCUAUUCAAGUCUGCUGUCAAAGACCGGGGCUUAACCCCAGAGAGGCAGUGGAAACUGAAUGGCUGGAGUGCGGAUCGGGUAGAGGGAAUUCCCAGUGUAGCGGUGAAAUGCGUAGAGAUUGGGAAGAACACCGGUGGCGAAAGCGCUCUGCUGGACUGCAACUGACACUGAGGGACGAAAGCUAGGGGAGCGAAAGGG